UAACACGUAGGGGGCGAGCGUUGUCCGGAUUUAUUGGGCGUAAAGAGCUCGUAGGCGGCUCGGUAAGUGAGGUGUGAAAACUCCAGGCUCAACCUGGAGACGCCACCUCAUACUGCCGUGGCUAGAGUCCGGUAGGGGAGCAUGGAAUUCCUGGUGUAGCGGUGAAAUGCGCAGAUAUCAGGAGGAACACCAGUGGCGAAGGCGGUGCUCUGGGCCGGAACUGACGCUGAGGCGCGAAAGCUAGGGGAGCAAACG
RNAcentral lists this ribosomal RNA (255 nucleotides) under uncultured prokaryote. RNAcentral describes it as "partial 16S ribosomal RNA". It matches the Rfam family "Bacterial small subunit ribosomal RNA", at positions 521 to 774 of the family's 1533-position model. The record is from RNAcentral.